CCUACGGGAGGCAGCAGUAGGGAAUAUUGCUCAAUGGAGGAAACCCUGAAGCAGCAACGCCGCGUGGAGGAUGAAGGUUUUCGCAUUGUAAACUCCUUUUGUUAGAAGAGAUAAUGACGAUAUCUAACGAUUCAUCACCGGCUAACUCCGUGCCAGCAGCCGCGGUAAUACGGAGGGUGCAAGCGUUACUCGGAAUCACUGGGCGUAAAGAGCGCGUAGGCGGGAUAGCAAGUCAGAUGUGAAAUCCUAUGGCUUAACCAUAGAACUGCGUUUGAAACUGUUAUUCUAGAGUAUGGGAGAGGUAGGUGGAAUUCUUGGUGUAGGGGUAAAAUCCGUAGAGAUCAAGAGGAAUACUCAUUGCGAAGGCGACCUGCUAGAACAUAACUGACGCUGAUGCGCGAAAGCGUGGGGAGCAAACAGGAUUAGAUACCCGAGUAGUC
This 440-nucleotide ribosomal RNA is filed under the name uncultured bacterium. RNAcentral describes it as "partial 16S ribosomal RNA". It matches the Rfam family "Bacterial small subunit ribosomal RNA", at positions 338 to 795 of the family's 1533-position model. The record is from RNAcentral.